CAACAAAAAUUUAUUAUACACUUAGCUGGUGCAGGGCCGAGCAACAGCAAUAGAAGAUGCAAAAAUGACAAAGAUAAUGUGGUCCUAGCACAUUUAGGGAUGGAUUGCACUAGAUUGCCCUAGAGAAUAGAGGCACAGGGAACUGAUACAAGGCUAAUAGAAAAGCAUGUGCAAGGCAAGUCUAAGAGCAGCAGCAUUUGAAAGAGAGUAACAGACUAAGAGGGAUGGGAAAGACAUAAUGGGAGGUAGACUCCACAGGGCUUCAGAUGGAUUGCAUGUGUGAUUGAGGCAAGGAAGAGGAAGAGAAAGAACAUUUAAUGACCUCCUUCAGUGCCAGACUAUACUAGGUGCUUUGUAUAGGCUGUAUUAUUUUAAACACCUGAGAGACAGCUGUGAUUGUCCCUUUUCUCCAAUGUUGUAUAAUUUGUAGAAAGUUCUCAGAGCUGGGAUUCAAGUGCAAAGUUUCAUUCACUCAUUAAUUCAUAUAGUCAAUAUUUAUUGAAUGUCCACGCUCUGCCAGGCAUCCUGGAAGAUACCAGGGACACAAAAGUGAACACUAGAAACAAGGGUUCUAUUGGGUUCUCAAGGAACCCUUAGUCUAGUAAGGGAGGUAGAUAUUUAUCUAAAUACCCAAAUGGGAUAGUUUUAAAACAUAUCAAAAAAUUUCCAUAAGAGGUAGAGCCUAAUUUCUCUCCCAUUUAGUGUGGGUUGGACUUAAAGACAUAUUUUUAACAAAUAGAGUCAAGCAGCAGUGACAACAUCUGACUUCUAAGUCUAGGUCAUGAAAGACAUUGGAGCUUCCUUCCCACCUGCUGUCUCUUGGAUCACUUGCCCUGGGGUGAGCCAGCUGCCACGGAGAAGCCCACAGAGGAAGAGCGGAACAGUUCUCAAUGGCAAAUGGAAGUUGCAGUGAAGCAGCACCCAGAGCCAGUGUCAGGCUCCCGAGAGAGCGCUGCACCGCUGCAUGUGGUUUCUGGUGCUCUACAUGUUCGGAGAAACUUAUCUGGUAGUGAGCUAUAGAAACAAUCCCUGCAAGCGUCGUCUUUAUAAGGUCAUUUUAAUGACUAUUUUUCUCCUCAGGAAAUAGGCAGUACUGAAGACAGAGAGAUAAAAGGGGCGGUGCUGACACACGUAGAUGACUGGGGCUCUGACAAUGACCGUGAGCUGAUGACCUGAGUCACACAAACUGGAAAACAAAGUUUUUCCCUAAGGAGUUGGACUUUUAAAAACUUUUUAUUGGCUGCUUUUGGAUUAAGGUGUUUAGGACCAGCAUUAUGAGCAGAAGGACUCAGUGUGUAUGAAGAAGAAACCAAGUUUUUCUACAGCAGAAGAGGAGGAAUUUGCCUUUGCAAAAUGUUAUACUGUUUUAUCUGUCGCUGAACGUGUCUGGGCAGUGGCUGUUCUCCCAGGUCUGAGUCCUGAAAAGGGAAAGAGAAAGAGAUUGUAGGACACGGUGAAAUGAUACACGAAACAGCGUUUCCCCAGCUUCUUAUUUGCCUGUACAUUUCUCAUAAAUGGAGUAAAUGCUGAACAAGCUGACUUUCUCCCAUCAUUCCUGUAAAUAAGGAUAUGACUCACAGACCUUGCAAUCUCUAAAAUGCCAUAGCUACUACAGUGAUUUGAUUAUUUAAAAAUAGCUGGGGAAAAAAACAGCAAGAAAUUGGUCCUGGGUAAGUUAGGAUGAAUUCUUUUCUGUUUGUUUUUGUUUAUCAUUUAAAUUGUUAUUGUAUCUCACCCUAAGUAUUCUGACAACAUCUAGUUUGCCAAACAAAUCUUAGGGAUUUAUGAGUUCUGGAAACUAACAAUAUGAACGUGCUGGUCAGAUCUCAGAUCCCAGGCAAAUAAACCCAAAAAACAAAAAACAAAAGACAACAAGACACAAGGUUCACCAUGGAGUCACUGUGAUCUGCGGGCAACUAUGGAUUUGGUUAUAUGAUCUCCUUUUCUAUAAAGUGGAGAGAGAUAAGUGUUGACAUCACUUAAAUACGCUGAGCCCCACCCCCAAAUAACACAAAUGCUGGUAACAACAAUAAUUUAUAUUAAGCCUACUGAACGGCUUUUGUUGAUCUUUAACUAGCCUAUCUAGAAAUGGGAAACGAGUGACCUCUAUUAUUACUCAAGUACUAAAACUCCCCAAGUAGGACUGUUUGUCAAAACUAGGAGUGAGUUUGAGAUUCAGGAUUAAGGUUCAAGUAGGGAAUCUCCAUUUACCCUGCAUCUCAGUCUUACACUGUAUUAUCAGGGUCUUGGGAGGAAAGAGAAGCACACUUAAGAAGGCAUGAUAAAAAGAGAAAGUAAUGAAGGGAUUAUUAUAAAGUUAGAGGAAGAGUUAAGGGAAAUAAGAAGGGUUGAUGAGGUCCUUGGGGUGGCUGCUUCAGGGAAGUCUUCUCUAGGCUUUCAAGGGCAAGCAAAGGACCACUGACAUUCCUCACAAACUUGCACUUUGGUGAGGGAGCCGGGCCACAGCUGACCUAGGGCUUAGCAGAAAAUCUCUCUCUCCUUCUGUCCUUCCAUCCUCUCCUGGUGGCUGCCACUGGCCAAGCCCAACUACAAACGACAGAACAAGGGAGCUUGGUUGCUGGGGUCCAUCAUACAGCCAGUCUUUCAGGGUGCAGAGCAGGGUGAAUGGGUGAAGAGUGGAUCUGCAGGGGAACAUGGAUAGUGUCGGGCACAGACCACUGACAAACGAAAGAGAUGGAAAUGCUUCAGAAAAGAAAGCAGGAUGGCCAGGUCGGUGGUUUUUUUUUUUGUGUGUGUGUGGAGAUGGAGUCUUGCUCUGUCACCCAGGCUUGAAUGCAAUGGCGCAGUGUUGGCUCACUGCAACCUCCGCCUCCUGGGUUCAAGCAAUUCUCCUGCCUCAGCCUCUCUAGUAGCUGGGAUUACAGGCGUGCACCAUCACGCCCAGCUAAUUUUUUGUAUUUUUUUCUAGCAGAGACAGGGUUUCACCAUGUUGGCCAGGCUGGUCUUGAACUCCUGACCUCAGAUGAUCCACCCGCCUCAGCCUCCCAAAGUGCUGGGAUUACAGGCGUGAGCCACCUCACCCGGCCAGGCCUGUGAUUUUAAUCAUGGGAUCUUGCCUAGUGGUAAAGCCCCAUUAAAUGUCUGAAAAUCUGAAUCAGAAGGAUCAGCAACUGUUCUUCCCUAGGAAUGGAUCAAAGGUAGGUCCUAUGGAUACGGCUUGUCUGUCCCCACCAAAACUCAUGUUGAAAUUUGAUCACGAAUAUGGUGGUGUUGAGAGGUGGGGUCUAGUGGGAGGUGUUUGGGCCAGGAGCAUGGCCUUAUGAAUAAUGCAGUUUUCCAGGUAGUGAGUUCUUGCUUUCAUGAGACUGCAUUAGUUCUUGUGGGAAUGGAUUAGUUCCCUAAAGUGUGAGUUAUUAUAAAGCAAAGUUCCUGUUCCUGUUUGAUCCUCUCUCUUCUCACUUGUCUGCUUCCCCUUUGACCUACUCUGCCCUGCAAUGUUAUGACACAGAAGAAUGCCCUCACCAGAAGCCAUGGCCAUACUUUUGAACUUCUCACCCUGCAGAACCGUGGACUAGAUACACUUCUUUCCUUUGUAAAUUACCCAGUCUCAUGUAUUCUGUUAUAGCAAGACAAAAUGGACUAAGACAGUAGGGUUGCCAGGGAAAAGACAGGCAUCCAGUUAAAAUUGAAUUUCAGAAAUUAGAUAAACUUUUUUUUUCAGUAUAAGUAUAUCCCAAAUAUUGCAUGGGAGGUACUUAAAGAGUUGUUGUUCAUUUGAAAUUCAAUUUUAACUGGGCAUCCCGUAUUUUUAUAAAUAUGGUAAUUCUAAGGGCACUUCCUUCUCACUAAAGAUACUAGAAUUAGAAUUUGAAUAUGGUAUAGCAUUCCUGAAACCUUGUUCUUUCAACACCAAUUUUUGAAAUGUUAAGUAUUUCCAAACAAAUGAACAAAAAAACAAGCUAAACACUGUUUCAUAGUCAAAGAAGUUAAAAAAACAGUGGAUUAAAAUAAAGUUAAAUAGUUCUCACA
Molecule: long non-coding RNA, 3990 nt
Organism: Homo sapiens (human)
Lineage: Eukaryota; Metazoa; Chordata; Mammalia; Primates; Hominidae
Exons: 3
Source: RefSeq, a predicted model, not a curated record